RNAcentral lists this long non-coding RNA (795 nucleotides) under Homo sapiens (human). RNAcentral's name for it is "HSALNT0274774". The record is from RNAcentral. Lineage: Eukaryota; Metazoa; Chordata; Mammalia; Primates; Hominidae.
AGCUUGGGGGCCUGGCCAUAGCCACAACCCAGGCCAGGCUGCCUACCACACGUGUGGGUGUCACGUGGGGCCAGAGACCACAGGACAGGACACGGACAGUCCUUGCGUGGACCUGGCCCUGUGGCCUCACCAAGACCUCAGCUCCUGGGAUGGGGGAGGGGAGGGACAGAGCCAGUUUCCCCAAGGGUGUCUGCUUCUCAGCCCAACCCCUGGACGUCGUCACAGCUGGUACAUGGACCCCCAGGAAUGCACACAGAGGACCCUGACCCGAAACUCGGUUUCUGGGGGCCCUGGAGGUGCAACGGUCCAGCCCCGCAGGCAGUGAGCAAAGCUCUGAACACAGCAGGGUGACCUCACGCUGCACCGCAGCCUUCACAGAACGCUUGAGACAUGGACGCCGUCUGAGCACGCACGAGCUGGCAGAUGGGGUUCCCUCAGUGAGCUUAUGAGUGACGCAGCUCAUUCAGUGAAAGGAAGGGCAGCCUCCCUGUUAAGGCCACACCUAGGAACCGGCUUAAAUGUCCAGAAACUCCUCAGGUACCGCUGGGCUUCCCAAACCCCCUCAAAACUAAUAACAUUUUCACUGCUGUCACCAAACAUAUGGAGACAGACAUGCAAGGGGCAGCUGGUUUUGGGGGUCUCUGUCCAUUCAUCAGUGUCUGUGGGGCCUGGAGGAGACGGGGAAGCUGUGGGGGCCGGCCAGGCACAGGGAGGCUGAGGCUGUUGGGAUGUCUGUGGACUCUGCUCUCCUCCUCCUGUGGAGGAUCCUUCAUCCCCACAGUGGGAAGACCAGCC